UUCCUGGUGGUCCAGUGAUUAAGAAUCCACCUGCCAAUGCACGGGACACAGGUUCGAUUCCUGUCCAGGAAG
Molecule: transfer RNA, 72 nt
Filed under: Bos taurus (domestic cattle)
Lineage: Eukaryota; Metazoa; Chordata; Mammalia; Artiodactyla; Bovidae
Also listed under: 1 other name
Rfam family: tRNA
About the family: Transfer RNA (tRNA) molecules are approximately 80 nucleotides in length. Their secondary structure includes four short double-helical elements and three loops (D, anti-codon, and T loops).
Source: Rfam by way of RNAcentral